This 181-nucleotide ribosomal RNA is filed under the name Klebsiella pneumoniae. Its description in RNAcentral is "partial 16S ribosomal RNA". It matches the Rfam family "Bacterial small subunit ribosomal RNA", at positions 1 to 173 of the family's 1533-position model. RNAcentral also lists the same sequence under 1 other name. Lineage: Bacteria; Pseudomonadati; Pseudomonadota; Gammaproteobacteria; Enterobacterales; Enterobacteriaceae. The record is from RNAcentral.
ACUUAAAUUGAAGAGUUUGAUCAUGGCUCAGAUUGAACGCUGGCGGCAGGCCUAACACAUGCAAGUCGAGCGGUAGCACAGAGAGCUUGCUCUCGGGUGACGAGCGGCGGACGGGUGAGUAAUGUCUGGGAAACUGCCUGAUGGAGGGGGAUAACUACUGGAAACGGUAGCUAAUACCGCA